Molecule: transfer RNA, 57 nt
Filed under: Eurythenes magellanicus
Lineage: Eukaryota; Metazoa; Arthropoda; Malacostraca; Amphipoda; Lysianassidae
Description: tRNA-Gln
Source: RNAcentral
UCUACUUUGGUGUUACAGCACGUGAAAUUUUGAUUUUUAAGGUAGUUUUAAGUAGAA